AACCCUGACCGAGCAACGCCGCGUGAGUGAAGACGGCCUUCGGGUUGUAAUGCUCUGUUGUAAGGGAAGAACGGUAGAUAGAGAAUAUCUAAGUGAACGGUACCUUACCAGAAAGCCACGGCUAACUACGUGCCAGCAGCCGCGGUAAUACGUAGGUGGCGAGCGUUAUCCGGAAUUAUUGGGCGUAAAGGGUGCGUAGGCGGCCUGUUAAGUAAGUGGUUAAAUUGUUGGGCUCAACCCAAUCCAGCCACUUAAACUGGCAGGCUAGAGUAUUGGAGAGGCAAGUGGAAUUCCAUGUGUAGCGGUAAAAUGCGUAGAUAUAUGGAGGAACACCAGUGGCGAAGGCGGCUUGCUAGCCAAAGACUGACGCUCAUGCACGAAAGCGUGGGGAGCAAAUAGGAUUAGAUACCCUAGUAGUCCACGCCGUAAACGAUGAAUACUAAGUAUGGGGGAAACUCGGUGCUGCAGCUAACGCAAUAAGUAUUCCGCCUGUGGAGUAUGCACGCAAGUGUGAAACAUAAAGGAAUUGACGGGGCCCGCACAAGCGGUGGAGUAUGUGGUUUAAUUCGACGCAACGCGAGAACCU
This 586-nucleotide ribosomal RNA is filed under the name Solobacterium moorei. Its description in RNAcentral is "bacterial SSU rRNA". It matches the Rfam family "Bacterial small subunit ribosomal RNA", at positions 379 to 971 of the family's 1533-position model. The record is from RNAcentral. Lineage: Bacteria; Bacillati; Bacillota; Erysipelotrichia; Erysipelotrichales; Erysipelotrichaceae.